This is a long non-coding RNA of Taeniopygia guttata (zebra finch), 3671 nucleotides long. The record is from Ensembl. NCBI's taxonomy places the organism in Eukaryota, Metazoa, Chordata, Aves, Passeriformes, Estrildidae.
UUUUAUUUUUCUUUUUCAAAACUUUAUUAGGUAGACAUUACUAGAUGACAUUGUAAAACCCCUUGUGUGCAAGUGAACGAAUUCUACAAUGCAUGUCUCCCCACAAUAAAUCAAAUCCACUGCCCCCCACUCCCAUAUCUGAAUAUUGAUUCUAAGAUUGGUGGAGUGCAUUCAAAUACUACUUUACAUUCUUCCAUUUCAUCAUGGGGAAGCACUUUUUCAGUCUGUUGCUAACAGGGGCUUGGGAUGUCAGUGUAAGUGAAAGGAAUGCCUUUAAAGGAAACAAAGUACCGUAAGUUUUGUCUUACGAAAUUCAGUCUCAUACGAACACCAGAUUCAUCAGAGUCUUUUAAAAAUUAAACUGCCUACCGUGAUUGUAUUUAGCAAAGUGAAGCAAUACAGAGACAUAUCUACUACUGAAAACUAGUGAGGUAACAUUUUGAAAAUAAAACUGUUAAAAAAUUCACUUACUUUCGAAAGGUCCUGUCCAGCAGGACAAACAUUGGCAGAAUACCUUCCCUUGUAUCCAUGCAUGAACAUGUGCAUAUGCAACCUGUGUCUACUAUAGCUUUUUAAAGAACAAAAUUUUAGUUAUACAUUCAUCAGGACAAGUUUAAAGAUCAGACAUUACUAUGGUAGAUUCAACAGAAGACUUCAAUGAACCAUCUUUCUAGAUCUCCUAAAGGCACUCUGAAGAGGGCAACAAGAAAUAAUCCUUACAAAACAUUGACAUGAACUAAAGCAGCCACAUAGGUAGCACACUCAACAGUGAUUAUUGGUAUACAUUUAAAAUACCAACUUGAAGAUGAAUUAUUUGUAAAAUAUUGCCCAAGACUACUGAAUAUUUUAUGAAAUUAUUACAGCAAAAAUAUCAUUGUUGCAAUACUAGGCAACAGAAAAUAUAGUUUUAGCUAAAUGCAAGACAAAGGUAUUGGGGAAACCUUAUCAGCAUUUUGGUUGUGUGAAUGCUGGUUCUAGGAUAGAAAAAAAUUCAUUUAAGGAAAUAACUAGUAAAAAUAAACUAUUAAGGUGAAAGGAGUAUUUUGACUCAUGGCAUGUUCUAUGUAAUAGAUUAUACAUGGAUCACAUUUUUAAAUCUUGAGAUAAUGCUGAAAUAGAAGUCAUUAAGAUAUGUAAUAAGUCACUUAUAAUUUUAUUGCAGUAUGGCUCUAAAUCAAAUUCCCUAACACCAAAACCUUUAAAUAUGCAAGCUCAAUCCUGACUAAACAGUUACAGUUAAGUGUUCACAGUAUGUGACAGCUAUAUUACCAAUUAGUAACUCUAGGGUGGAGAAAAAGCCCCUUCUACAGUUCUGAACAACUCAAGGGUUUCAGGAAAAAAAAGGGUUCAAAGGGAUACUCAUCUUAAUUUCUCCUGUUUUCCUUUAUAAAUGCUCAGUGGAGGAAAUUGAACAUAUUAAAACCAUCUUGUGAUCAUGAAUCUAUAAAAAAUAAGACUUUCCAAGCAUAAUUUUUCUUCUUACCCCCCCAUUAACUCAAUUUCCUUCUUAUAAUUACCUUUUAUACUUCAUUUUUUGACAGAUAAUUGCUACCAUAAGCUCAUGAAAUUCAAGGUAGUUUUAGAAAUUAACUUAUUCCUGACUUCAAUAAUAGUGGCAUCAAUGUUAGUAAGAACAAACAGAUCCUUUAGUAAGUUUAGAACCGAAAGGGUAAAUUCCACUGCCUUCUGGAAAACAAGGUAAGAAGAAAUAAACCCCACAACACCCAUUUUGAAGCUAUCAGAAGAUGGCAAAAUGAGUAAUACUUUUCCAGAUCACACCUCCCACCCUGCAGUGAAGGGCUGGGCAGAGAUCCCAGAGCUGCGCCACCAUCUUGAUUGAUGGUUUUGUCCACUGAGACACCCACCCCAGAGGAGUUGCAAACUUGUAUUAACAGGAUACGUUAGUUCCAGUUGGAUAACACUGAAAUGCUCUCAAUCUGUUUUAAGUUGCAGUGUACCUCCAUGCGCCAUAUUCCUUGGUGCUUCCACCUCCAACAAUCACUGUGAACAAGGCAGGAGCGAGCCUGAGCUGGCAGGUACAGCCACAACAGGCUGUGCUUAAUUCUCCUUUCUAACAGGCUGCAUUUCUUUCAGUGGUUGAAAACUCAUGGCUUCUUAUGUUGGAGGAGCCAGACUUACUCUAACAACUUAUGAUGCAUUUCCGCAGAAGUCUGAAGGAAGACAUAAGUCAGGAGGAGGGAUGGGGGCAAAAAGCAAGUUAAAAAAACCACAAAAAUGAGAUCAUCAGAAUUAAAAUAAGCAUGCCAGAUUACUUUUAUGAUAGGCUAACUUCUUGCCUAAUACAAUAUUUGUCAACUUUCUCAAUAAACCAAUACUCAUUACUUUGGCUUAAGAGUCCACAGACAUUGCUGUGCUUAGGGGUAUGAACACCUUUCAUUUUUUUCACGCAAUAAGGCACUUACACAUUUUAAAUCCCUCAUUAUACAAAACACUAAAUACUGGAAUUCAAGUGUUGAUUUCAUGGGCAUUGCACUCCUCCAGUUUUUAAAAGUUAUUAGUCAUCCCAUAAAUACACCACAAAAAGUUCCCAUCACUGAUGCAUUUAGCUUGCAUGCUGCCCAAAUGCAGAACUAGAAAUUGCUUUUUAAAUGAAUCCACAGUGUCUGGCCAGCACCCUAGUUGUGCCAGAAGCCUCAACACUAAAAAGGGUGUGAUCUAUUAUCACACACUACCCUCAUUCCUUGCCAUUCAAAUUAAACCUCUUUUAAAGGGAACGCUUCACCCUAAAAUACACAAAACAAGAGAUGGGGGCAAGAGAAGACAUCUCAUUAAACUGUCAUGGAAUUAAAUUCAGCUUGUACUCCUCAGAGAUAAUUUUUUCCUUUUAUCAACACUAUUCUCAUCUCUACCAUAGUGACAAGAAUUAACAAAUACCCAAAAAUGUUAUUUUGUACUCAGAUGGUUAGUUAUGUAACAAAGACGACUGUACUGUUUAAGUAAAUUUUUAAAAAAUUCAAAAUUAAAACCCCUGAAGAAAAAUAGAUUUCAGCAUCUUGCUUUUGAGUAAAUACAACAAAAUUAUUAUUUUGCUUAUAUCUCAGCAAAGCAUUCAUGAAGCAACUUCUUAUACGAUCACAUUUUACAGGGCAAAUUUGAUCAUCCACCAUUUUCACAAGUCAAUUUCAAAUUAUGAAAUUUAGAAUGAGAAGGAGCACAUAGAAACAAAGUGUGUAACAAUGGAAACAUGGUAAACAAUUUAUUAUGAGAUGGUAAACAGUGAAAUGUAAAUCUAUCCCUGUCCUUGCAAUUUCUGGAUACAAACCAGCAGGAUGCAAAUUGAUAUGUAAAACUCUUAAGAGUCCAUUUUUUUAUGCAAAAACAUAGCUCAUGACUAAAGACUGAAUCCAUCUGCUCACCCAGAGCUGGCAUAAGGCAUGAAGAUGUUUUCUGACUGCAUCAUAGUUUUACAGGACAGGUUUAAAACACCUGAACAGCUUCUCUGAAUUCUGUAAAUAUGUUUAUCUUCUAAAAAUGAGGUAAAUGUGGCAUUGUGUUAAUAACGUCAUGCUCUGUGACAGUAAGUUACAAAUUUCAAAAAUACUGUUUUCAGUCUGACAAAUUUUCAACAAGGUGAGAACUGAAUGGGGUUGGCAUGCAAUUGUGUUUAAGACAUGUGCAAAAUUCACAUUAAUGCUAAACAAAUACUUUUA